UCUUCUCGAUUUAUUUUGCGACUUUGCUUAUGGCGUCUUUGCUGAGAAUGAUAAAAAAGGAUUUCUGAAAGAUACGAUUAAUGAUCUCAGAUCCAAUUGAAUUCUCGCACAUCUUGUCGUAAUGUGUCUUCGCUGCAGCUGUGACGUUACGUUAGAAAAAAACGAGUCUUGUCGUACGGUUCCGGAAAACCGCUCGAGUUUGGCCAGAGAAAUCAUAAAUGGCCAUAAUAGUACCGCAAAAUAAGCGCACCGAGGCCGACAACAACACAAGCGGUGAGGCUCCGUACAAACACUCGGGCAGUUGCUUCGCCAAACAACACUGGGCCGGAACAAUAAGCACCAUGCACUUUAACAACAGCAGAAGCAGUAAACAUGACUGGUGGAGAAAUUAAUCAUUUGAUCACUUCCUUAGCCACGAUUGCGACCACAGACGACACCGAUAGUACCAUCAGCGGCAAGCAGGAGCACCACCAAAUCCAACAUCAAAUAUCCGCCGGAAGCGUUCCCUCUCAUCAGUUAUCACCACCCGUUUUUUAUCACGUAUGAACCAUUCGAACAGGUUCGAACGAAUCCCUAGCAACAUCCGUCACUCGCCGGAAAAAAACCGCUAAAAAUGGCCAUACAACCACUGAAAACUAAGCGCAUCCAGGUCGACAACAACGCAAGCGAUGAAGCUUAACAAAAUACAUAGUAGAUGCUGCAGUGAAAAACUCCACCAUCCGACCGGACCAACACCGGAGGUGGAGGUGGAGGUGAAAACUGGUCUGGAACAACCAUCAUCGCUCGUCCAGUUUCUCAGUCACGAUUGCGACCACACCACCAGUCACAACAUUCCGGAGGAAGAGACGAACACCACAGCGCUAUUCCCAUUAUCAUCACAAAAACGAGCCAGUCGAGCAGCAACAGCGGCGAGUCAAUGACCAAUCACAAGGUGUCAGUUUUCUUCUCCAACGGCGGAAGUACGUGGAAGUGGUUCAGUGGUCACAAUGAACAGAUUGAUUAUGAUGGUGGCUUCCGUGGCUAGUGACCGGAAUCCAACAAGCGGAGAAUUCCUAUGCUCGGUUUCCCUCCUGUAAGUAUCC
Molecule: long non-coding RNA, 1082 nt
Organism: Uranotaenia lowii
Lineage: Eukaryota; Metazoa; Arthropoda; Insecta; Diptera; Culicidae
Exons: 3
Source: RefSeq, a predicted model, not a curated record